AGAGUUUGAUCCUGGCUCAGAACGAACGCUGGCGGCAUGCCUAACACAUGCAAGUCGAACGAGACCUUCGGGUCUAGUGGCGCACGGGUGCGUAACGCGUGGGAAUCUGCCCUUGGGUUCGGAAUAACUCAGAGAAAUUUGAGCUAAUACCGGAUGAUGACGUAAGUCCAAAGAUUUAUCGCCCAGGGACGAGCCCGCGUAAGAUUAGCUAGUUGGUGGGGUAAAGGCCUACCAAGGCGACGAUCUUUAGCUGGUCUGAGAGGAUGAUCAGCCACACUGGGACUGAGACACGGCCCAGACUCCUACGGGAGGCAGCAGUGGGGAAUAUUGGACAAUGGGCGAAAGCCUGAUCCAGCAAUGCCGCGUGAGUGAUGAAGGCCUUAGGGUUGUAAAGCUCUUUUACCAGGGAUGAUAAUGACAGUACCUGGAGAAUAAGCUCCGGCUAACUCCGUGCCAGCAGCCGCGGUAAUACGGAGGGAGCUAGCGUUGUUCGGAAUCACUGGGCGUAAAGCGUGCGUAGGCGGUGACUCAAGUCAGAGGUGAAAGCCUGGAGCUCAACUCCAGAACUGCCUUUGAAACUAGGUCGCUAGAAUGUCGGAGAGGUGAGUGGAAUUCCGAGUGUAGAGGUGAAAUUCGUAGAUAUUCGGAAGAACACCAGUGGCGAAGGCGGCUCACUGGACGACUAUUGACGCUGAGGCACGAAAGCGUGGGAGCAACAGGAUUAGAUACCCUGGUAGUCCACGCCGUAAACGAUGAUAACUAGCUGCCAGGGCUCAUGGAGCUUUGGUGGCGCAGCUAAC
This 800-nucleotide ribosomal RNA is filed under the name uncultured bacterium. Its description in RNAcentral is "bacterial SSU rRNA". It matches the Rfam family "Bacterial small subunit ribosomal RNA", at positions 8 to 856 of the family's 1533-position model. The record is from RNAcentral.